AAGAACGGUGAUGAGGAUAAACAGACCUGUAAUGAAUUGCGGAAAUGAUCGCAGUCAUUAUGAACAUCUAAGGGACUGAGUUCUA
Molecule: small nucleolar RNA, 85 nt
Organism: Corchorus capsularis
Lineage: Eukaryota; Viridiplantae; Streptophyta; Magnoliopsida; Malvales; Malvaceae
Rfam family: Small nucleolar RNA SNORD25
About the family: U25 is a member of the C/D class of snoRNA which contain the C (UGAUGA) and D (CUGA) box motifs.
Source: Rfam